GGGUCUGUAGCUCAGCUGGUUAGAGCGCACCCCUGAUAAGGGUAAGGUCGGAAGUUCAAGUCUUCCCAGACCCA
RNAcentral lists this transfer RNA (74 nucleotides) under Coxiella-like endosymbiont. Its description in RNAcentral is "tRNA-Ile". It matches the Rfam family "tRNA". From Rfam's summary of the family: Transfer RNA (tRNA) molecules are approximately 80 nucleotides in length. Their secondary structure includes four short double-helical elements and three loops (D, anti-codon, and T loops). Further hydrogen bonds mediate the characteristic L-shaped molecular structure. tRNAs have two regions of fundamental functional importance: the anti-codon, which is responsible for specific mRNA codon recognition, and the 3' end, to which the tRNAs corresponding amino acid is attached (by aminoacyl-tRNA synthetases). tRNAs cope with the degeneracy of the genetic code in two manners: having more than one tRNA (with a specific anti-codon) for a particular amino acid; and 'wobble' base-pairing, i.e. permitting non-standard base-pairing at the 3rd anti-codon position. The record is from RNAcentral. Lineage: Bacteria; Pseudomonadati; Pseudomonadota; Gammaproteobacteria; Legionellales; Coxiellaceae.